UUUUCCCUGUAAAUCCAGGCCAGCUCCAGGGCAGAGGGAAUCUGCCCGGGCCCCGCCGCUCAUGAUAACAAUACAGCAGCAAUUAAUGAAAGGCCUGCUAGGGAUUUAUUACGAUGGAGGAGACCAGAAUACGGUGCCAGAGAUCCUGGACGCUCGACAUUUGAAUACAGGCCACAAAUUAUAAACACUUUCAGUAAAUGAAGUGACUGAGUGUCUUUGUUCCACAGGCGUACAUCUUCCUAUUGCUAGCAAGGAACAGGGCGCUCUAACCACUAGCGUGGCCAGCUCUGGGAAAGGAAGUUAUUGAAGCCUGGAUUUCCUGCUUUCAGCUGUGGCCAAGAACUUGGAGGUUUAUGGCGGUUUCAGGAACUGACUCAUCUAAUGAUUCAUGGAUCAAAGAUUGCUUUUCACAUGUGUCUGGUCAUGGAAAAACUUGCUAGAAUAAGAACAUACAACAGUCAAACAGUAUGCUAUAGAUGGCUGAAGGGAAGGGUAUUAUUAAAUAUAAAGGACAAGUUCUUCAGAAUAACUUUUUUUUUUUUUUAAGAAGUUCAGACGCCAUUUGUAUCAACAUUAAUUUCUUCCUCUGAACUGACUAAGCCCUCCAUCUGGUUUGAGUUACAAGGAUAUAACUUUGAAGUGUUGGAACUGGUCUCUCUAGCCUUUUCAGGUGCAGAAAGGGUCUAAACCAGAUGUCUGCUUAAGCACAACACUGUUUGCCUUCUACAAUUCAACAGCCUCACACACACUCCUCCCCGGCUCAGCAACAGGAAAAACAAUAGGUUCUCUCUGUGCGCUCCUGUUCCCCCACAAUCCUCCAUUCCCAGAGUCCAGAUACGACGCGCCGAGGCACGACGUUACUCCAGAGGAAACAGGGCGGGCAAAUCCCAACAAAGGAAGGAAAUGACAGAGGAACAGCAGCCAGAUUCUCCCAUGCAAUCUUUCUGGAACAUGCUGAUACAUUAAAACUAUGUCAACAACUGCUAGAAUCGUGUCUGGCAGCUUGGGACAAAUAAAAGGGAUACUUCUACAAUUACACAACAACAGAGAAGUAACGUGAAGUUUCUCCAGAGUAAACAAGUCUGGGAAGUUCAGUGAGAAGUACGCAGGGUUGAUGUUGUUGUUGUUUUAAAAAUAAACGACACACAUAUUAAAGCU
This is a long non-coding RNA of Carassius carassius (crucian carp), 1158 nucleotides long. RefSeq lists it as uncharacterized. The record is from RefSeq and is a predicted model, not a curated record. The transcript is spliced from 3 exons. Lineage: Eukaryota; Metazoa; Chordata; Actinopteri; Cypriniformes; Cyprinidae.